AGCCAUGUCUCUGAAGUGAGUUCUCGGGAGAAGAGAAAAGGCAUUUGAGUGAUCGAGAAGCAUGUCUCCAAAUGCCCAAUAAACAGCAGCAGCUGAGGGAAGUGUCAGUGUCAGCACAUACACAGUUGCUAUCAGUGACAGCAUGUCCCCCGAACGUAUAGAGAAUGUUGGUGGCACCUGUGAAAUACAGCACCAGCUUGCAAUGGGAGGGGACAACAAGGAUUCCUUUUUGACUGAAAAUUUGAACCCAACAUGUUCAACAAGUUGA
Long non-coding RNA from Hibiscus syriacus, 268 nucleotides. RefSeq lists it as uncharacterized. NCBI's taxonomy places the organism in Eukaryota, Viridiplantae, Streptophyta, Magnoliopsida, Malvales, Malvaceae. The record is from RefSeq and is a predicted model, not a curated record. The transcript has 3 exons.